Molecule: transfer RNA, 72 nt
Filed under: archaeon
Lineage: Archaea
Description: tRNA-Gly
Rfam family: tRNA
About the family: Transfer RNA (tRNA) molecules are approximately 80 nucleotides in length. Their secondary structure includes four short double-helical elements and three loops (D, anti-codon, and T loops). Further hydrogen bonds mediate the characteristic L-shaped molecular structure. tRNAs have two regions of fundamental functional importance: the anti-codon, which is responsible for specific mRNA codon recognition, and the 3' end, to which the tRNAs corresponding amino acid is attached (by aminoacyl-tRNA synthetases). tRNAs cope with the degeneracy of the genetic code in two manners: having more than one tRNA (with a specific anti-codon) for a particular amino acid; and 'wobble' base-pairing, i.e. permitting non-standard base-pairing at the 3rd anti-codon position.
Source: RNAcentral
GCGACCGUGGUGUAGUGGUUAGCAUCCCGCCCUUCCAAGGCGAUGACCCGGGUUCAAAUCCCGGCGGUCGCA